GAAUGAAAAAUACCUAUCAGCUCAGUAGUAGAUGGCGGAUUCCACUGAGGCGGAGAAACUCCCCAAAAACCCUAGCUCCCUAUCAUCUCCUUCAUUCGCUAUAAGUACCAGCAGUCUCCCAGUAUUAUCUAUGCCCUUCUCAAACUUAGUUUUUAGCAUCUCUCAUUCUCCAUUUGUAUAGUUGGGUAACCCAAAGUUCCAAUCUUUGUUUCUAUUUUGAUUUGAUGUUUAGAAUUGUAUUGUUUUUGGGGUUUAUCUGUAAAUGUAAAUCUUCCUGUUUGGGGCCGAUGAUUAAAGUUUUCAAUUGACAAGCAUAUGUCUGAAUUUGUCUUAUGUUGUUAACAUUAAUCUUCUCUAUGAGGUCGCCUUUCUGCUCCCAAAUUUUCUUAGUUUUAAUUUUUCUUCUAAAAGAUAACAACUUUCGCAGUUUUAUUUUUAAUUUUCUUUUAUAAUUUUUCUAACAAUUAUUUAUAAAUGCCAAUGAUGAUUAUAGUGGAAAUGUGUUCAUGAUAAGUCCUGAUUACAACAACACUACUGCCUUCCUUCUGAGGCAUUUAAAAAAAAAUAUCUUAUUGCAAAUGGUUUUGCAAAGUUUUUUGAAUGAUUUUAUUUCUGUUUUUUUUUGUUUUGUUUGAAAACCCUAUUCUUUUUGUGCUAGAAAAGAGUCAUGUGAUGAUUUUUUGCAUAGUUCAAAUGAUAAUCUUUGUGAUUAAACAAAUUUGUCUUUCGCUCCUAUCUGAUGACUCAACUUCUUUUAUUUUGUAUUUUUACAUUUUGUAAAAGAUUUUAUAUGUUUUGAACUACUUGUGUGUGAUUAAUUUCUUGUAGGUUAGGUUUUUAAUGAAGUUGUUGGACUGUGAUGAUUUGUGAUUUGGUCUCGUUCGUCGUAAUUGUGUUGAACCACAUUGACGACCAUCCUGAUAUAUCACCACCCAUAAACUGAGUCCACCAAUUAAUAUAGUCUUUAUUUAUAUCUUCCAGGGAUGAGUACUUCCUAUGUGCUUGAGACAUUGUCCUUGAUUGCUGCACUAAUCCUCUAAGAAGUUCUGAGCACUCAAGGUUUUAAUUUUCCUAUUCUUUCUUUUAUUUUAUAUCUUGUAAAAUUUAUGUAUACUGAGGUGAGGUGACGAUAGAAUUCAUGUCUGUCAAUCCACUGAUACAUUUGUGUGAUGUUAUACAUGAAUCCUGACAGGUUCUGAUCACUUCAUUUCCAGUAUUUGUGCUUUAUGUGGCUUUUCUGUUUUCCAUAGAUGCUCACUUUGUAGAAUGAAAAAUAUCCAUUUCCUCAAUAGGAGAUGUUGGAUUCUAUUGAGGCUGAGAAACUCCCUGACACCCUAGCUCCUUAUCACCACCUCCUUAGCUACAAGUACCUGCAUCCUCCAAUUAUUUGUCUGUCUUUCUUGAACAUUAGGUUUUGUUGUGUCUUUUUCUCCCUUUGUGUUAAUUGUGUAUUUGGGUAAACCAAAGUGUCAAUCUUUGUUUCUAUUUUAAUUUUGGUUUGAUUAUUAGAAUGUAUAUGUUUGAGUUUAUAAAUUUUCAGAUUUGGGGCUGAUGAUUAAAGUAUUUAAUUGACAAGCAUAUGUCUGAAUUUUCUUACGUUGAUAAUUCUAAUCUUCUCUAUGAAGCCACCUUUCUGUUUUCAAAUUUUCUUAGUUUUGAUCUUUUGUUUAAAAAGAUUACAGCUUUCUGUGUUUUUGACUUUUUUCCAAUUGUUAUUUAUUUAUUCCAACGAUGAGUGAAGUUGAAUUGUGUUUAUGGGAAAUCAUGUUUACAACAAUACUACUGCCUUUCUUGAGUCAUAUUAAUAAUUUUAUUUAUUUUUGAAUGUAUUGGGAAACUCAUUUGAAAUAGUUUUUUCUGUUUUUUUUUUGAAAGUUAAUCUUUUCAUGGUAAAAGGAGUCAUAUGAUGAUUUUGUGCAUAGUUCAAAUGAAAUCUUUGUGAUUAAAUAAAUGUCUUUCGCUCCUAUCUGAUGACUCAACCUUUUUUUGUUGUUCCUUUUACAUUUUUGAAGUACUUGGUUUGUUCUUAAUUGCUUUUAGGUUAGCUUUGUUUUUUAUUAGGAUUGUGAUGAUUAGUUAUUUCUUGGUCUAUCUUGUAGUAAUUGUGUUGAACCACAUUGAUGACAAUACUUAUAUAUCAACACCCAUAAAUUGAGUCCAGCGAUUGAUCUAGUCUUUCCUAUGCAUGUGUGCACAUGUUUUUCUACAUGUGUGAUAGGAUUUACAUUUAAACAUUUGUGUUACUUAUUUUGAAUAUUCAUUGUGAUUUUAAUGUGUUUUGCCUUUUGCAUUUUCUGAUGUGGUUGGAAAUGACAUUUCACCAUGGUUAAAUGUUAAAAACAUUGUAAAAUUGCAGUAUGCAACCAUUUGGGCAUCUUCAAUGAGUCUUCAGUUUGGAGAUAGAAAAAAUAAUGAGCUUGUAAGGCAUGCACAUCUACAAAGGUGUUGAAGUAAAUUGAUCCUGAUUCCAACCUUAGUAUUUAUAAAAUUUAAAAAUGGAGGUAAUCCAAUCUAAGAUAGAGGCAUGGAGUCAUACCACUUUUGCCUUCAUCUCUGUUUUUAAGUUCUUUAAAUGUUGGGGUUGCCUUUGAUUUCAAUGCUAUUUUUGGAUGUGCUAAGGAAAAAUCUAAUUCAUUAAUCAUAGAUUGAAACGUUUACAACAUAGUUGAUGGACUUGUAAGCCAUUCCUUAUAGUCUCUGACAUAGAAACACCUUUCCUAGCUAUGCUACAUAAAACUUGAUUUGUUGAUUUUUUCACUAAUUUGAAGUUGGGGUCCUUAAAGCUUCUAUAUAUAUAUGUGUGUGUGUGUAUAUAUAUAUGUAUAUAUAUCUAGGGUUUAUUUAUGGCAAUAUUCUAUUUUGGAAAAAUUAUUGGGCUUACGAAAUUUAUAAAUCAUUUGGAAUUUCUUAAACACUCAGUUUAAUUUGUAAGCUUAAUAAUUUUUCUGAGCCCCAAAAUACCUUAGUCCAAUUUUUAGCCUAAUUAUUAAAAAUUAAAUUUUGCCCUAAAUAAACCCUAGAAAGUCAUAUCUUCAAUCUAAAAUAGGCAGGUUCAAGGGUUAAACCCUAGAAAGUCAUCUUCAAUUUGAAAUUGGUAGGUUCUAGGGUUACUAUAUUGGUGUAAUUGGCCUCUGCUUCAGCUUCUGGAGGUGGGCCUUUGAUUUAAUAUUUCACACAUUUCUUAUUUAUCCACCGGUGGCUACAUUUAUGCCACCCUUUAGGAUGAACUCCAUCCUGUCAUAGUCUAGGUUUAAUGAAGUUGUUGGACUGUGAUGAUUUGUGAUUUGGUCUCGUUCGUUGUAAUUGUGUUGAAACACAUUGACGACCAUCCUGAUAUAUCACCACCCAUAAACUGAGUCCACCAAUUAAUAUAGCCAUUAUUUAUAUCUUCCAUGUGUGAUAGGAUUUACACUUCAACAUUCUUCUGAAUUAAUUUUGAAUGUCCAUUUUGAUUUUAAUGUUUAUCCCUUUCUGCAUGUUCUGAUUAUUUUGAAUGUGCAGGGAUGAGGAUAAUCUGAGUUUAAUUCUCACAGGUGAGGAUAAAUUCUCUUUGGGCCAUCUCCCGUGCCUCACGGAGUGAGUGGGGAUUAGUUGGGUUGGGUGGACUUGAACCGUAAGACGGAGAAAGACCUGGAAUAUAUUGUGGUUUCAUCAAUUAUUUAUUUAUUUAUUUUUGUCUAUCCUUAUUCUUGAGUUUUCAACAGGUUUUGCAUCAUAACCAUAUAUAUAUAUUCUCAACACCUGUUAGUGCAACCCGAAAGAAGAGAAAGAUACUUUGAAUGCAUGAUCAAAAGCAUAAAUCAUGGUUUGCGGUUUUUAAGACUCCAGUUUGACAAACAUGGGGUUGUAUAUGCCAGUAGCAUUCUGGCUUAUGGCCAGUCCAAUCAAGAAUAGGGCUCUGUUGUAGCAAAUGCAUAGUUGCUAAAGAUCCUUAUCCCUUCUAAUAAUCUAACUUUCAAAAAUGGGUUUUACUUUCACAUUAUUAAAUUUACAAUUCAUUUAUUAUUGAUAUGUACACUAUGCAUAAAAGGUAUGUGAGGCAGCUUUUGCUGUCAUUUGGUAGCAAAAGCUGCCAUUAGCAAGCUUGCAACAGAGCAAACUUUAUUCAUGUGUACAUGAAAAGAGAAUUUAUUUUUUAAUCCAAAUCAUCUAGCAAGGGGAGCCUUGGUUGGGAUGAGGACAAUGCACCAUUUGCUAAAUGAUGUGCAUGGGUUAGCAGGCUUGUUAAUGUCUGUUUUUGUUUCCAAAUGGUAACAAAAGUUGCCUCACAUGUACUUUUUCUUUUAAAAAAUUAUUUGAUACUUUAAAGUUAUAUAAAUGUGUGUGUGUGUGUAUAUAUAUAUAUAUAUAUAUAUAUAAUUGGGUCCACUUUGAAAGUUGAUUGGAUUUUGUAGGAUGUAGUGUCAAUAGGUAAAUGAAUUGCAAAUUUAGUGAUGUAAAAGUAGAAUUCAUUGUUUAAAGUGAGUAAUGCAGGGAGGUCAUUUGCAUUUGUACAAAAUCAAAUGUUUUCUAUUUUUUUCCCUAUGUGGAACUUCAUUUUUCUCUCCUUCAACUCAUUAGUUCCUAAUGGUGAAAACCCCAAUUGAAAACACUUUGAAAACCCCUAUUGGGAAUGCUUCUAUGGUUUUUAAUUUCCAAUAUUUUUAUUUUAUAUAUUUUAGAAAUGAUUUUGGUAUAUCAUGAUGUGAAUCCCAACAGGUGUUGAUAUUGUUUGAUCAUAAGAGUUCAUUUUUUGACACUAAUACUGUGUGAUGUCAUUUGUCAAACAUAAAUCCGACUGGUUCUUAUCACAUCAUUUCCAAUAGCAAUGCAUUCUGCAUCUUUUUUAUUUGUUGUCUAUCCAAUUGGAUUGAAACAACAGUAUGCGAUGUUGUUGAGAAGAUACAUUUUGAAACAUCAACAGUUGGAAGAAAUGAAUUUGAUAUGCUAAUGUUUGACUAUUAUACUAAACACAAUCUUCAAUCCCAAUAGUGUUGAUCCUAUUAUAUGGUUGCCUGUUUCACACACUCAGCUAGAUAAGCCACCAAUCUGCAGGAGUUGUGAAUACCAAUCUGCACGUGGAGUGGCCUCUCAAUUGCCAUUAAUAGGUUCAGUUUUAAAUCCACAGUUACUAAUCAGAAUAGCUUUAGCUGCUUUAUUCAUGCUUUUUGUGCAGUUCUUGAACUUUUUUGGUAUAUUCAGGCUUCUUAAGAUGAAGGUGCUUGACCCAUUCUUCGUGAUGAUUGCCUCUGUGCACUUUGUCUUUGCACUUUUCAUCCAUUUUGGUAUUCAAGGCGGGGCUUUGAUCAUUAUCUUGUAAGGUAUUGUAAGAGCCAUUUGUUUUUUCUUGGUAAACUCUUUGCAGGUCCUCUACUGGUUUUUCAUCUGUUCUGGGAAUCAAGACAGAGCUCUGAUCAUCAUUUAAGAUUCUCAGGCUCCCCAGUGUGGACGUAGCCUUUGGCAAGGAUGCUGAACGCAUGGUUACCGGGGGUUCAAUGCCGGACCUCAUGUCUUAAAACAUUUCCUCGCAUUAAUCCAUUUGGCCUGCUGAGUUCCAGGUGUUCAUAAGUAUGUGACCACAUCCGGUUUCACUCCAAAUUCUUCCAUCAAUGUUACACGAUUGUAAAAUUUGUAAUGAAAACACAUUCAAGAUUAAAGUGCAAUAAAUGUGAAGAGUAUGUUGUCUUUCUGUUUUCGAA
Molecule: long non-coding RNA, 5678 nt
Organism: Ipomoea triloba (trilobed morning glory)
Lineage: Eukaryota; Viridiplantae; Streptophyta; Magnoliopsida; Solanales; Convolvulaceae
Exons: 2
Source: RefSeq, a predicted model, not a curated record